This 71-nucleotide transfer RNA is filed under the name Loxodonta africana (African savanna elephant). It matches the Rfam family "tRNA". Rfam says of the family: Transfer RNA (tRNA) molecules are approximately 80 nucleotides in length. Their secondary structure includes four short double-helical elements and three loops (D, anti-codon, and T loops). Lineage: Eukaryota; Metazoa; Chordata; Mammalia; Proboscidea; Elephantidae. The record is from Rfam by way of RNAcentral.
GCAGUGGUGAUUCAGUGGUAGAAUUAUUGCCUUCCAUGUGGGAUCCCUGGGUUCGAUUCCUGGCCAACGCA